RNAcentral lists this transfer RNA (92 nucleotides) under Candidatus Desulfovibrio trichonymphae. Its description in RNAcentral is "tRNA-Ser". It matches the Rfam family "tRNA". Rfam says of the family: Transfer RNA (tRNA) molecules are approximately 80 nucleotides in length. Their secondary structure includes four short double-helical elements and three loops (D, anti-codon, and T loops). Further hydrogen bonds mediate the characteristic L-shaped molecular structure. tRNAs have two regions of fundamental functional importance: the anti-codon, which is responsible for specific mRNA codon recognition, and the 3' end, to which the tRNAs corresponding amino acid is attached (by aminoacyl-tRNA synthetases). tRNAs cope with the degeneracy of the genetic code in two manners: having more than one tRNA (with a specific anti-codon) for a particular amino acid; and 'wobble' base-pairing, i.e. permitting non-standard base-pairing at the 3rd anti-codon position. RNAcentral also lists the same sequence under 1 other name. The record is from RNAcentral. Lineage: Bacteria; Pseudomonadati; Thermodesulfobacteriota; Desulfovibrionia; Desulfovibrionales; Desulfovibrionaceae.
GGAGAGGUGUCCGAGCUGGCCUAAGGAGCACGAUUGGAAAUCGUGUGUUGGUUAACAGCCAACCGAGAGUUCGAAUCUCUCCCUCUCCGCCA